Molecule: long non-coding RNA, 2839 nt
Organism: Nomascus leucogenys (northern white-cheeked gibbon)
Lineage: Eukaryota; Metazoa; Chordata; Mammalia; Primates; Hylobatidae
Exons: 2
Source: RefSeq, a predicted model, not a curated record
GCAAAGGCCGAUGAAUAAAUACAAUAAUGCAGCCCAGAGGCUCCGUGCACAGGAAACCUGAAUACCAUGAAUUAAAUAUUUUCGUUUUAAAAGAAUUCUUGAUAAUAACUUGUUAGUUAUUAGAACAAGAGUAGGAGGGCUCAGACUUCUAAAUAAUUAUCUCUAUAAGUCACUGUUUUCUCUGUAAGAUGAGACCAUUUUGCCUGCCUACUGGCCCUCCUUCAGCCUCUACCUGGUUACACUUCUCCCCUUCCGAGCUCAACCACGUAGCUGACAGAUGGAACAUCAUGGCCACCACACUCCCCAGAGCUGUCUCCAUCCCAGUGGGCCGCCUCCUCUUCCCUGCCAGCUCUCCUGGCAGCUCUCAGGCCUCCGUCCAUGGCUGCAGUGCUGACACUCCUCCCCAUGCAGCUGCCUGAGGCUGAAUCUUUUUAAAAGUUUGCAGUCUAGAAUAUUUUCCUGAGAUCCAAAUCUGCAAAUCCACUUGGGUGAUUCCAAGGCAACUCAAAGUCAAUGUUUUGGAAACCAGCCUCAGGCAGCCUCCCCAGUCCUGCUCUUCCCCUAGUACUCCUGGACGGAAGCCCAAGACUCACCCUCAACUCCCACGUGGACACAUGGGGCCUGGUCUCCUGAGCAGCAUGGCGCCUGUAAACGUACCCCCAAUCACCUCUCACAUCUGUUCUCUUCUCUCCACCCCCACUGCCAUGCCCCAUCCAGGACAGGCUGAUGGCAAUAAACUGAUAAUCGAACAAAUGGAAAUCACUCAAGCCCCUCCCCAACAUUCCCCCACAUUAGUGGCAAGCUCAUCUUCAAAAACCAUAGUAGCUUCCCGUAAUCCUCCGGGAUACAUUCUGAGACCCCCCCAGUGAAUGCCUGAGGUCGCAAAGAGUACCGAACCCUACGUAUACUGUACAUGAAUUUCUUUUUCCUUCUUCACAAUAUCACGGGUAGAUUUGUUCUGACCAUAGAUCUUAGCAACCUCAGGAUACGAUCUUUUCUCUUUCCUUAUUGGGUUAAGAACUUUCAGCUUUUCACUUAAAGGAAGCACUAUAUUGCUUCUCUACGGCAUAUCUGAAUGACCAGCAUCAUUACUCCCAUGCUUUGGGGCCAUUAUGAAGUAAAAUAGGGGUGACUUGAACACAGGCACUGGGGUAACACGAGAAGUUCAUCUGGUCACCAAAUCAGCUUCUAAGUGGCUUGCGGGCAGGGAGCAGCAACAGCAUGAAAACACUGGAUGAAGGCACGUCCCAGGUGUGACCAUGUGAGAAUCCAGAUUUCAUCAUGCUACUCAAAACAGUGCACAAUUUAAAACUUAUUAAUUACGUAUUUCUGGAAUUUUCCAUUGAGUAUUUUCUAACUGCGGUUGACUGCAGAUAACUGAAACCAUGGAAAGCGAAGCCGUGAAGAGGGAGGGACUCCUGUUCUGCUGCUGUUCCCUUAUUUGAGACCUAUCCUGUCUGGUGUAAUGAAGCUAGAAGCGUCCACACUGCUGUAACACAGCUUACAGAAGAAGGCUCCCUUGGCUCGCCCCUGCGUCAUACUGGGCUUCUAUUACAGCAUGAAAGGAGUGUGUUCUCUGUCUCUCCAGGCUCCAGGAGCACUGUGUGUUCCAUCUGGAACUCUGACCGUCCAAACACACCCCUCUCACUCCUUUGUCUGGUAAGUUCCUAUUGCAGAUCUCUGUCUCUGGGAGACUUCCAACUGGGAAUCUCCCACUGAGGCCACACCUCUAGAUUAGGUUAGUGGCCCCUGACUCAACGCUGCUCUAGCAUUCUGCCAUGAGAAACCUCACUCUGCUGCAGCUUUAUCUUCUAAAUGACAUGCUGAGAACACCCACGAAACUGCAUUACCAGCUAAUCAGCUCCAGCUUCUUCAGAUAGGCUUCUGCUUGUGACUCCAUGAUCUGUAGCUUAUACACUUCACUCUCCUUCCAGUUUUCAAGUACGGAUACCUGCCAGUAGAUUAGAGGACAUAUGAGUAUUUUACAAAUGACAGCCCGAAACUAUUUUAAAGGUUAAAACUUAAACAUUCAAACCACUUUCCCAUUUCUCCUUAAAUGAAGCAUGAUGAUAGAAUCACCAGAACUUGAUUAUAUCAUAGGUGAACAUGAAUUAGACUUUGAGAUUUGAAAACAGAACAAAAUGACAUUACAAAUGCAUACCUUCCACGAUCCUUUUUGCAGAUAUGAAUAACUGUACAUGGCUUUCUGCUUAAGCUAUAUAUAAGCACAGAGCCAGGUUAACUGCAUGUGCACACCAGUGUGUAUUAUCUAUGGUCCUGCAGCAGAAUAACCCUUAAUAAAGGCUGCAUCCUCUGCAAUUUUAGAAAAGCCUCAGAGAAGCUGUUCACAGCAAGGACAUCAAAAGCCUUCGGGGUAUGCUUUUAAGAUUCUAGACUCUCUGUGGCUUCCCCACAAGCCAACUGGCCAUUUUUGUGAGAAUCACUGCAGGAAAUGUAGAAUGGCCUUGUGGUCCAAAUGAUUCAUUAAAUAGCCUUUUAAUCCAGGUGUCAGUAAACUUGACAGGGCCCACCAGGCAAACCUGCUUACCAAACGGUGGUGUGAAUUAAACAAGCUCAGGAAUACGGAUGCCGGUGUAGGACCCACAAAGUAUUCAUACUUUGGCUCUUUUUUCCUUUCCUGUCCUUAGAAGCAGGUACAUAGUCAAUUCUUAAUUGAAAAGCCUAAUGUUUGCAGACUGUAUAAACUCAGCCUUUUCUUAUUUUACCAGAAUAAUCACAGACACAUAUGCCAAUAAAUAUCAUUUGUUUCUCAGCUAGAGAAACAUAGAGAAUCAUGUUUCGGGAACUAAAUAAAAUACAGCCAGACGUCAUAAUUUUG